Long non-coding RNA from Herpailurus yagouaroundi (jaguarundi), 251 nucleotides. RefSeq lists it as uncharacterized. The record is from RefSeq and is a predicted model, not a curated record. The transcript has 3 exons. Lineage: Eukaryota; Metazoa; Chordata; Mammalia; Carnivora; Felidae.
CUUUCCUUGAGAGCUUGUUUGGAGGUUCUAGCAGGGGAGCACAGCUACUUGUAUACCCUUGACCGAAGAAUGGUCCUCCUCUAUCGGGGAAGGUCGUCCCCUUCGACUGAGCGCGCAGCUUCGGGAGGGACACACAUGGAGCGGUGAGCGAGGAAGGGGACACCCGCCUAGCCAGCCAGAUCAGCCGAAUCAACCCUGGCGAUCAAUGGGGUGACAGAUGUCGCAGCCAGAUCGGAACAGUACACAUCUGA